Molecule: ribosomal RNA, 486 nt
Filed under: uncultured bacterium
Lineage: Bacteria
Description: bacterial SSU rRNA
Rfam family: Bacterial small subunit ribosomal RNA
Source: RNAcentral
AGUUUGAUCAGUGGCUCGAGGACGAACGCUGGCGGCGUGCUUAACACAUGCAAGUCGAACGGUGACGAGGAGCUUGCUCCUCCGAUCAGUGGCGAACAGGUGAGUAACACGUGAGCAACCUGCCCCAGACUCUGGGAUAACAGUUGGAAACAGCUGCUAAUACCGGAUACGAGACGGAGAGGCAUCUCUACCGUCUGGAAAGUUUUUCGGUCUGGGAUGGACUCGCGGCCUAUCAGCUAGUUGGUGAGGUAAUGGCUCACCAAGGCGACGACGGGUAGCCGGCCUGAGAGGGCGACCGGCCACACUGGGACUGAGACACGGCCCAGACUCCUACGGGAGGCAGCAGUGGGGAAUAUUGCACAAUGGGCGAAAGCCUGAUGCAGCGACGCCGCGUGAGGGAUGACGGCCUUCGGGUUGUAAACCUCUUUCAGCAGGGAAGAAGCGCAAGUGACGGUACCUGCAGAAGAAGCACCGGCUAACUACGUG